Molecule: ribosomal RNA, 1376 nt
Filed under: Tethya sp. AR-2012a
Lineage: Eukaryota; Metazoa; Porifera; Demospongiae; Tethyida; Tethyidae
Description: SSU rRNA
Rfam family: Eukaryotic small subunit ribosomal RNA
Source: RNAcentral
UGCUUGUCUCAAAGAUGCAUGUCAAGUAUAAAAACUGCGAAUGGCUCAUUAAAUCAGUUAUAGUUUAUUUGAUGGUUGGAUAUCCGUGGCAAUUUAGAGAUACAUGCACAAAGUCCCGACGGUGAUUCAUGAUAACUUCUCGAACCGUAUGGGUGCCGACGGUGCUUCAUUCAAAUUUCUGCCCUAUCAACUUUCGAUGGUACGGUAGUGGCCUACCAUGUUGCAACGGGGACGGAGAAUUAGGGUUCGAUUCCGGAGAGGCUGAGAACGGCUACCACUUCCGGCAGCAGGCGCGCAAUUACCAAUCCCGACUCGGGGAGGUAGUGACAAUAAAUAACAAUGCCGGUCUGGCAAUUGGAAUGAGUCAAUCUAAAUAACGAGAACAAGGGCAAGUCUGGUGCCUUCCAGCUCCAAUAGCGUAUAUUAAAGUUGUUGGAUUUCGGGGGCCUGGCGGUCUGCCCAAGGUGGUCCCUCUCGAAAGCCCCGACUGCUCUUYGUUGUCGGGGUUCGGGACGUUUACUUUGAAAAAAUUAGAGUGUUCAAGGCAGGCUGAAUACAUUAGCAUGGAAUAAUGGAAGAGGAUUUUGUUGGUUUCUAGGCCGAAGUAAUGAUUAAGAGGGACAGUUGGGGGCAUUCGUAUUAAUUGUCAGAGGUGAAUUCUCGGAUUUAUGAAAGACGAACAACUGCGAAAGCAUUUGCCAAGGAUGUUUCAUUAAUCAAGAACGAAAGUUUUCGAAGACGAUCAGAUACCGUCGUAGUCCUAACCAUAAACUAUGCCGACUAGGGAUCGGUGGAUGACUCCAUCGGCACCUUAUGAGAAAUCAAAGUCUUUGGGUUCCGGAGUAUGGUCGCAAGGCUGAAACUUAAAGAAUUGACGGAAGGGCCAGGAGUGGAGCUUAUUUGACUCAACACGGGGAAACUCAGUCCAGACAUAGUAAGGAUUGACAGAUUGAGAGCUCUUUCUUGAUUCUAUGGGUGGUGGUGGGCCGUUCUUAGUGGUGGAGUGAUUUUCUGGUUAAUUCCGUUAACGAACGAGACCUUAACCUGCUAACUAGUCACCCGAACGACUUCUUAGAGGGACAACUGGCCAGUGAGGCAAUAACAGGUCUGUGAUGCCCUUAGAUGUUCUGGGCCGCACGCGCGCUACACUGACGAAGUCAGCGAGCCUACGCCGAUAGGUGCGGGGAAUCUUGUAAACUUCGUCGUGCUGGGGAUUGAUUAUUGAAAUUCUUGAUCAUCAACGAGGAAUUCCUAGUAAGCGCAAGUCAGCAGCUUGCGUUGAUUACGUCCCUGCCCUUGUACACACCGCCCGUCGCUACUACCGAUUGAAUGGUUUAGUGAGAUCUUCGGAUUGAAAAGUUGAUCUGAUCAUUAGA